UCCAAUUCAAUUUUCAAAGAAUUCUACCGUACCAAUUGGUGAAUCUCACAUCGCGACUUCUUCACGAAUUGCCUCUGAAUCGCCAGAAUGACGCCUUCAAAAUUGAGAUAGCUUAGAGCAAUUUCGAGCAGAUGCGACUUCUGGGGAAUUUUCCCACACCUUGACGAGCAUAUCACAGCAAUCUCAAGUAGUUUGGAUGCUAGAGUCGUAGACGAGAAAAUACAGGCCAAAGUCGCCGGAGCUCAGGCAAGGAAAGAACAAUCCCAGGAUGGAGCUUCUUCUAACUUCUC
RNAcentral lists this long non-coding RNA (290 nucleotides) under Solanum tuberosum (potato). Its description in RNAcentral is "long non-coding RNA (STUB_LNC009779)". The record is from RNAcentral. Lineage: Eukaryota; Viridiplantae; Streptophyta; Magnoliopsida; Solanales; Solanaceae.